GCCACCAAGGUUUAACCAAAGACAUCCUAAAAUAAGAGAAUAACAUGAUGAAAUUUAAAAGAUGUAACAUAAUUAAAGAUAAAAGGAUGAUUAGAUAUGUGUUCCAUACCAUGUCAUGUUGAUUAAGCUGACAAAGCCUCUCAGUAGUCCUAGUCACAUUGCUUCCCCCUCUUCGAGCGCCUUUAUUCGAAAAUAUGAGAAGUUUGGCACAAAGUACCUAUGAUCCUUAAGCUGUUAUAGGUAAGC
RNAcentral lists this long non-coding RNA (246 nucleotides) under Setaria italica (foxtail millet). RNAcentral describes it as "long non-coding RNA (SITA_LNC005098)". Lineage: Eukaryota; Viridiplantae; Streptophyta; Magnoliopsida; Poales; Poaceae. The record is from RNAcentral.